CAGAAAGAAUAUCUUCUCAAUAAUUGGAUUCUUUGGACAGAGGUCAAGAAGCUUUUAGGACUAUCUACUGAUAAUUUGGACAGUGAUACUCCAGAGCUUCAAAAUCGGAAGUAAAAUCAGCUGGACAGUUGCCUGCUGCUUUCAUAAAUAGGGAGAAAGCGGCAUUACUGGUGUGGAUGCCUGCCAUGUUUGCUUCACCAGAAUGAGAUAGGGCAUGCAGGAGAGAAGGGAUAUUUCUGCAAGUAGAAGCUGCCAUGAUUUCUCAGGGGACACAAUUUUGCUUAUUUGUACCUUCUACUGUGGCAAAAAUGGAUUAUUUUCCUCACCAAAAACCAGCGGUAUAAUGCGCAUCUGACACAUGCCUCAAGGAAAUCUUAUUUAAAGUCUGUUGAAAGAGUCAGAAUCAUGGAAAAAGAGGCAAGACCAAGGAGGGUGCUAGAUAUCAAAAACCAAAGGAAAAAGAUGACAAUGUCACAAGCUGUAUUGCAUCUUCCCAUUAAA
Molecule: long non-coding RNA, 501 nt
Filed under: Apteryx rowi (Okarito brown kiwi)
Lineage: Eukaryota; Metazoa; Chordata; Aves; Apterygiformes; Apterygidae
Description: lncRNA (ENSARWG00000012873.1)
Source: RNAcentral